CGGGCGCGCGCGCCGGAAGUGACGCGCAGGCCCGGGACCCCGGGGGCGGGCGGUGGACCCCCAGCUGGCAGAGCCUGGGGCGGGGGCCUGAGGUGGCGUGGACCGCUUCUUCCCCCGCGGUCGCCCGGGCUGGCGCUCGCGUGCCCAUCGCUGAGAUAGUGGGAGGUGGAGUGGGAACCGCUAGCUUUGCAGAACGCAGAGUCCCUCCUCACCCUGGCGGUCCCGGUGCCCUGGAGUGCAGUCGCGGAAUACUGUUCAGCGGCUCGGGUGGUUUUCCUUGCGUCCCGCCACGCGGCGGCUCCUCACUAAAAGGCUGCCUUCUCCCCACAGCUCCAGGUCCGAGAGGAGCCGCACCGUCGGGUUGGAGAUCGCGCGCAAGGGUGGCCUCUGGGUCUGCAUCUGCCCCGCAUCGGCCACAGGAAAAGCCUGGUCCCUAGGCACGGUCGUGGUUCGAGCUUUUCGUUCUCUCGCACAUUGAGGUAUUCGCUCAGCCCACCACGUUGUCCUCGGGGUUAUUAGGCCCCAGUCACAAGCCCUAUGAUGUUUUCAGACUUCCCAGGUGGAGAUAAAGGAAAAUUUUACUAUUUCUGCAGAACUUCUGUUGAUGUACAGCAUUGUAUUUAGCAACUUCUGUGUAGAUCUGAAAAUAAAUACAUUACCAAUUGUUAGUUGCGUUUUUAUUAAUAUAAAUCUUAGAGUACUUGAUUUUGCUGUUAGCUUUACUUAGGUAAAUUAUGUGGCACUCUAGCAUUUUUGUUGUUGCAUGUUCCAUUGAACUUUGCUCUGUGUUUUCCAUUUAUUCCAAAUUCAAAAUAGACUGUAACUUCCCAAUUUAUUCUAUGUUCCCAAGGCACCAGGCAUAGUAGGUGUUUUAUGAAUACCUGUUGACUUGAAAUUUCUCAGACUUUUAAAAAAUUUUUCAUUACUGACAAAAGAUGGAGCGAUAAAAAGAUUCUUAGUACACUUCCUAUUAUUGCCAAUUCUAUUAGUAAUGUAUACUGCAUUACAACUUCUAUACAAGCAGUAACUCAUUUGCUCCUCAUAAGAACCCUAUGAGAGAUGUGGUUUUACUGUCAUCAUUUUAGGAGCAAAUUAAGGCACAAAGAAGUGACUUACCCAAGGUUACACAGCUAUUAUCUGGUGGAAGCAGGAUUUGAACCCUGGCAAUUGGGCUCCAAAGUCUGAUCCUUUGUCUAUAAUGUUGACAAAAACUUGUGGAUGUUGUGGUAAAUUGCUUUCUCUCCAUUUGAAAUCCCAUUGAGUUGAAGAGAUAGACGCAUAGUGAGUAUACGUCCCAAGGAAAUGUAUUAUAUUGUUUUCUGGGUUUCAGUUAAUUCAAAUAAAAUAAAAAUAGUGAAGCAAAGAUUUGGACUAGAUGCUGUGAGGUUUUGUGUCAGCAUGCAACAGUGUCACAACAGUGUCAUCACCACGUUUGGUUCUGUGUUGUGGAUGUAAUAUUUUGCCCCACAUACAUAGAAAGUUCAAUGAAUAGCACUGAACCACAUAUAUACCAAAUUAAAGACAACUUUUGAUAUUAUGUAUUCUAGAGGGAAUCUUUCUGGUAUCAGAAUAUUCAUACUACUGUCAUUGGGAUGAGUUUUAAAUGUAUACCUUUUUAAAUAAAUCCUCUUUAAUAAUAAAA
RNAcentral lists this long non-coding RNA (1642 nucleotides) under Homo sapiens (human). RNAcentral's name for it is "non-protein coding lnc-TTLL7-3:2". The record is from RNAcentral. Lineage: Eukaryota; Metazoa; Chordata; Mammalia; Primates; Hominidae.